UUCUCUUCUUCGUGUCGCAUUU
This 22-nucleotide microRNA is filed under the name Oryza sativa (Asian cultivated rice). RNAcentral describes it as "osa-miR2097-3p". The record is from miRBase by way of RNAcentral. Lineage: Eukaryota; Viridiplantae; Streptophyta; Magnoliopsida; Poales; Poaceae.